UAGGGAAUCUUCGGCAAUGGGGGGAACCCUGACCGAGCAACGCCGCGUGAGUGAAGAAGGUUUUCGGAUCGUAAAGCUCUGUUGUUAAGGAAGAACGAGUGUGAGAAUGGAAAGUUCAUGCUGUGACGGUACUUAACCAGAAAGGGACGGCUAACUACGUGCCAGCAGCCGCGGUAAUACGUAGGUCCCGAGCGUUGUCCGGAUUUAUUGGGCGUAAAGCGAGCGCAGGCGGUUAGAAAAGUCUGAAGUGAAAGGCAGUGGCUCAACCAUUGUAGGCUUUGGAAAAUGUUUAACUUGAGUGCAGAAGGGGAGAGUGGAAUUCCAUGUGUAGCGGUGAAAUGCGUAGAUAUAUGGAGGAACACCGGUGGCGAAAGCGGCUCUCUGGUCUGUAACUGACGCUGAGGCUCGAAAGCGUGGGGAGCGAACAGG
Molecule: ribosomal RNA, 429 nt
Filed under: Verrucomicrobiota bacterium
Lineage: Bacteria; Pseudomonadati; Verrucomicrobiota
Description: Verrucomicrobia bacterium partial 16S ribosomal RNA
Rfam family: Bacterial small subunit ribosomal RNA
Source: RNAcentral